UUAGCUAUUUUCACAUGAUAAUUCCCGAUCACCGCACUCGCAACCAUCUUCAUUUGAAUCAAAGCUUUGUCCUUCCCUAAACAAUUUCUAGGACCAGCAUGAAACGCAGUGAACUUGUAUGACGGCACAUGCACAAUACACCCCUUCUCUGAAAUCCAUCUCUCGGGCUUGAACUCUAAACAAUCAUUGCCCCAUAUCUCUUCCAUCCUCCCCAUUGCAUAAUAAGAAAUCAAUACCGUUCGAUUCUUUUUUAUGUGAUGACCACUUGGGAGAAUGUCUGCUUGUGCUGCAAUUUUGUGAUUGUACGGUAUUGGUGGGUAUAGUCUUAAUGUCUCACACAAGGCUGCAUGCAGAUAAACCAAACUGUUUACCUCUUUUGCUUUGAAGAAAAAUCUCUUUUCCCCAUCUUCUUCUCUUUUGUGCAUGACCAUAUUGGCCUUGAUCUCUUCAAGAAUUUUGUUUUCAACUGAUGGAUGUGUGGCAACAAGCCAAAAAAACCAAACGAGGCCUGAACUUAUAGUAUCAUUUCCAGCUCCCAAGAAACUGAAUGCUGUGUCUCUUAGAAACUUGUCAGUUUUUCUCAAAGCACAUAUUUGUUCAUCCUCUUUCACUUCCUCUUCUUCUUCUUCCAUAAAAGCUGCUAAUAAGUCAAAUUCAUCCUCCUCCUCCUGCUGUUGCUCCAUAUUAGCUUUUCUACCAGAAAUGCGCCCGUACAGGAAUCUAUCAAAAGUCUUCCAAGCUCUACUAAGCUUCUUCUCUUCUCCAAUCUGAAGCCAUUUUUGCAGCUUCCAACAACAUUUUGGCACAAUAUGUCGAUAAAGUACAGCUUGCUCCAUUGCGUUAAAUGCAUUUGCAUAAACAGUUUGAGGGAACUCAACAGAGAGAUAAUUUGGAUUAAUUCCUAAAACCAACAUACAGAUAUUGUCGAAGGCAAAUCGCUUAAGCACAUCUUGUAAGUCCACCACGGUCCCUAGUUCUGAGGCAUGAUCAAGAACUGGGAUAAGACCUGUUUCUAGCUUUUGAUGAGCAACUUUUUCUACAGCAGACUCGAACUUCUUGUGCUUCAUCACUGAAUGGAUUAUUUUCCUCUGUAUUUUCCACAGGUCUCCGUCGGCAUUGAAAACACCAUCUCCCAGAGGCUCCAUGAUCAUCCUAAAGUCAGGUCCCUUUGGGUAGUUGCUGAAGUUCUUGCUGCUGAUGUAGUGAACAUUCAUAGGAUCACUGGUGAUGAUGAGGUCCAUUUGGGCAAACCAGGGCCCUGUGAACUCAAAUGUGCCCCGCUUCUUUUUCAAAACAUCGUGUGUGAGAAAUUCAUGGAGACGCCAUGUGUUCCCAAGUAAUCCUGGCAGCAUCCCAAGGACGGGCCGGUUUCUCUUGAGAGAGUUUCUACUCCAACCCCAAUGUAAAACAAUUAUAAGAAAGGAAAUAAGAAAUAUUGCUAGGAUCAUCUCUCCAUAAGCAAAUGUAAUGGCCAUUGAAGAAGUUAUCUUUUCAAAGUCAUGUAUAUUGUUCAAAUUACAUAAAACAAUUAUAGUCCUUUCAUUAGUAAUGAAUCGAGUCUAGGUUGAUUAAGACGUGAACGUGUGACUUGUCUUCUCCAAGUCCAUAUAUAUAAUUUCGCAAAUUAGUUUUUAUAUGGGAAAAUAUUCUUUUUAUUUUGCCUGUAUAAAUCUACAUAAAGAAAAUGCAUGAAUAUCUUUGUCAGCAGGGUUGAGUUCACAGGGCCCUGCUGAUAGUAGAAUAUACUUUUCAACCAACAUAAUUUUAAUUCAGUCCAUCAUUGAGCGGGGGCAAAUAUCUUCUCCUACUAUAAUCUAGGUGAAGCCUUCAAACUAUUUUCUCAUUAAAAGAAAAAAAGAAACAAACAUGAUAUUAGAGCCACACAAAACGUGAGCCCCCAGAACCUAAGGUGUGUUCACUCUGAUGCUACAGUAAAGACGUGGACGUGCUUCUCCAAUAUUCCACAGAUAUUUUCACUCUAUCAUUGAGUGAGAGGGUAAAUAUCUUCUCCAAUAAUCCAUAGAUAUUUUCACACCAGCAUUGAGUGAGAAUAAAUAUCUUCUCCCACUAUAAUGUAGAUGAAAUAGAUAUCUUAUUAAGGCAAAACUUCCGUUACAUUAGCUGGACGUUACAGCUAAAAGAUUUUAAAUCCUUCGUAAAAUUUAUAAUUAUAGAAGUCAAUGAGUUUUAAAAUUUUGUUUUAAACCCCAAGAUGCCUGUAAAAAUCUUUGAAAUUUCCCAGGAGGGAUAUUAGCCACCCUUUCGUCAACAUCAAUGGCAAAUCCUAUGCCCCCUCAAGUCUUUAUUAUUUCGCACAGUUCCCAAAAUUCUAUCCACAUUUGCCUCAUAGGUUUGUAUAUCUUCAUCUUCUUUUAUCACGUUUUUAGUCGGUUUUUUAUCUGGCAAAGAAAAUUUGAUUUUGAUCACAUUUGGUCUCAUCAAACCAACUUAUGACUAUUAGAGAUAUUAAAUAAAUUUUUAUAAAUUUCAAAAGAAAGGCAAAGGCAAAGGCAAAGAGAGCAAACCUUGAAUAAAAUGAAGCAACUUGUAAAUUACAAAAGGUUAAAAAUUACAUCAUCAUCAAGUUCUAGUGACUGUGCUAUUUGCUUGGAAACUUUUAGAGAUGAUGAAACUUGUUGAAUUUCUCUUGUAUACAAUCAUAUCUUUCAUUUAAAUUGCAUUGAUGGUUGGUUGGAGAUCAAUCUAAUUGCCCUCUUCGUCAUAAUUGUAUCUUCGAACUUCAAUUUUUUUUUUAAUUUUUUAUUUAUAUUUAUAGCAAAUUUAGUACAGUUUCUCAACAAUUUUUUCUAUUUUAUCUAAUUGAAUCUCUAAUUUAUUUAAUCUUAUAUCUAUUCAGUUUUUAUUCGUUAUAUUAAUGAUCUUUUACUUUAAUUUAUCUUGAUCUUCAAUGUUGAAUUAUUUCAUUAAUUGUUUAACCUUAAAAAAUUCUUUGCUCAUUUGAUCUCCUAACUUUUUAAUUUGUUUUAUAUUUUCUUCAUUGAAAUUAUUAAUCUCUAACAUUUUGUUUGCACUUUCUAUAUAAUUUAUAGAUAAAUUUGGGUUUCUUAAUUUAUUUAAUAAAUACAGUGAAAUUCAAUUUAAUUGAUUAUUAGCUCACAUGUUUGAAUCAUUGAUCCAAUCGAAAAGUUGAAAUCUUCCAUCUGAAAAUUCUUUUCGGCCAUAGCUAGAAUGUGGUAGCUUAUUGGUUUUUAUGUUUUGUGAAAUUAUUAGAAAUUUUGGUAAUUUAUUCAUUGUAUCAUUUUUCUAAUUAUUCAUUAAAUUCAUAGGAUACUUGUGAUAUAUAAUAUCUCUUAUAAUUGAGGGUGCUAAAUUUAGAUUACAAAAUCUAUGUGAAAGCAUUUGUGGUGUGUGUGUGUGUGUGUAAAAAACAUCUAGUUUAUAUCUUAAGAGAGAUAAGAACUUAUAAAUACAGGUGCAAAUAUAUAUUCAGAAUUUGUGGAUAUUUAUGAACAUGAUAAUCAUUUAUAUUCUUAUAAAAAUAUAGUAAAAACUUUUUAAAAAAAUUUAAAAAUAAAUAUAGAAAACUAUAUAAUUAUAUAAAAUUAAAGAGGACUUAUUUAAAAAAAAAGUAAAUAUGUGAUUAAAAAUAAAAUUUUCUUUAAAUUACUAUUGCACCCGUACCUCAUUUUUUUAUUAAAAUUACUUUCAUCCAUUGAAUUUAAGAAAUAUAAAAAUCAAUGAUUCAUAUCUAUUAGCUAUUUGUUACAAUAUUUGUAACAUAAGCUUUGCCUCUUAUUAAUAUUGGUAAGCUUUCUAGCUACUUUCUCUUUUUUUUUUUUAAAGAUAUUUACCCUCUAAAUAGGGCCACACAAAACGGUAGCCUCCAGACAAAAACCAGCUAUAGUAAAAAAAUCCAAGCGUUGGUUAAAAUGUGUGGUGAAAAGAAAGUUAGCUUAAUUGAGUGGUCCAUCAAAACAAAGGGUCCCUUUUCAUACAGCCACUGCAUGCCAUACAACCGUUUUUAUUUUUUAUUUUAAAACUUAUUGCCCGUUGGAUUGCUUAUAAACGGCUUUUAUUUUUUACGCAUGAAACCGGCUACCGAGCGAAAGAAUUGGAAGUGGGAACUGGCAAAUAUCAGGAGCAAUUAUCACAUAGCUACACCAAUUUUAUCUAAAUAUCGAAAUUAUCAAUUUAAAUUAGGAAAAUGUCAAAGACCCCCUCCUCAACAUGAAAAUUUUGCAUUUUGUUAUGGCUGAAAAAAUUACUUUGAAACAUGUAAUGUCUAUAUUAGUGAGAAUAAUAUUUACAUUAGUGUAAACUAAGUAUAUAUUUUUUUCUUAUUUUCCAUUUAACUAUUGGAUAGUUUUCAAAUAAUUAUAAUUAUUCAUAGUACCAAAUAUCAUAAUUAAUCAUCAAAUAUUGUUAUUCUCAAUAUUAGUUGAACUUGUGACUAAUAUUAAUGAUAUAAAUUUGUACUGUAUACAAGGUAUAUAUAAUGUACCAUAUAUUUGAUAUUUGGAUUAUACUCACAAAGUUUCUCUUACACAAAUUACUUCAUACAAAUUUAUCACAAAUUAAUUAAAUUAUUGCAUACUUUGUUUUUUUUUUUACUACAUUAUUAAAUUAUCGCAUGUAACAUAUUUGAUCUUGAGUUAUAACUAGUACUAUAAUUAAUGGUAGUUAAGGGAAAAUGAGAAUUACCUCCUACUUCCCCCUCCCCCCCCCCCCCCCCCCAAAGUUAUAAUAACGUUAGCUUUAUAUAUCAUUUUACUAACGUUAGCUUUAUAUAUCAUUUUACUAACGUUAGCUUUAUAUAUCAUUUUAUUAUUCUACCCCUAAUCUUACUGCAGCUAUAAAAUUUAAAUAUUUUGAAAAUACAAAUUAAGUAAAAUAACUUCUAUACCCUUGAUGAUCAAAUUUUAUUUUAUAAUAAAUUGUAAAUUAUAGAGAAAAAUUACAAGUAGGGAAAGUGUCGUAAAUAUCCCUAAUAGUUGUAAAUUAUCCAUUUAAAUUGGAAUAAAAUUUGGUUAUAUAUAUCCACAAUAUAUAUGUGUGUGUGUGAAGUAAUUUUUCUCGAUAAUUUAUUAUUAAAUUUAUUUAAUCAUUAGGGAUAUAUAAGUCAUUUCACUUUAUUUAUACUCUAAAAAUAUUUAAAUUUUAUGGCUAACAUCAAAACUGUGUCAAAUAGUACAAUGAUAUAUAAAGCUAACACUAUUAGUUGCAGGAGAGUUUGAACCUAUUUUAAAACAUGAGAGGGUUUUUCGUUUUUCUAAACAACAUAGGAUAAUCUCUUUUUUUUUUCAUAUUGUUAAUAACUGUCAUUAUAGUCAUUAUUGUUAUGAUUAAACUAAAUUCAGCUUAUGAUAUUUUUUACGAUAUUAUAUAUUUUUAAUGAAAUGUCUUGUAUAGUCUAUAUGAUAUUAUUUUCAAUAAUAAUAAAAGUUUAAAUAAUGUUUAUAUAUAUAGUCCAAUUGAAUGUGUUUUUCUAAAGUGUGUAUAAUUUGAUUUUAUUUUUUAACCCUGCUUGAAAACCACUCGAUCAAGUCAAUGAGGGACAAUUUGUUAAAAAUUAAAAUUUUAAUAAUAUCAAGCAUAAUUUUUUAGGUAUUAUUACAAUAAUUGUUGUUGACAUUGUGUUGUACCCUUAACUAAAUUAACAAUGUAACUAGAAGAGUGGGACUAUUGGCACCCCUCCAAAUACGUAUUAAAACCCCUUUAAUUAUUUUAUAAUUUAACCUUUAUUAAAAUUACAAAAUAUGACAAUUUCUAAUUAACCUCCACUCAAAAGUCAAAUAAUUUUUAUCUCUUAAAAAAAAACUAACAUUUUCUCUAAUUGUCAAGUAAGGAAUUUACCACUAGUGGUUGAAAUCGGAAGAAGGAAACUCGUUGUUUUUUAUUUAUUUUUUGAACGGGAGAAAUCCUAUUGUUGAAAUAUGGUUUAAUAAUAAAAAUAAAUAAAAAUUAGAUAAUAGAGUCUACACUAAUAAAUUUUGAUUAAGGGUAUUCUUGUCAUUGAUGUAGAUGUUAAAAGAAUUUUAUAAUUUUUUAAAACAUUUUAAUGGAGUUAACAAAGAAAAUGGGUGCUAAGAGAUAUUUAGAGGGAUGUCAAUAGUCUCAGUCAACUAGAAAACUAUAAUUUUAGUGCAACACCUAGAAUUAAAUAAUUUAGGGAAAAAGAUACCUACACCCUCGAGAUUUAGAAAAAUGAUCAUGUACACCCUUAUGUUUUCACCCCGGGACCCCAAGACCCCUUUGACUAUAAUACAAUUUGGAUGUAUUAAUUCAAAAAAAAUGACUUAAAUUUUUUUAAUAAGUACAAAUAUAAUUUAAAUAGUUUAAUUUGUCUAAUAAAUUAAUAAUAUUAAAACAUUUUUAAAAUAUAAAAUAAUUUUUAAAAUGUAAAUUAUGAUAUUUAUUUUAAUUAUAUAUUUGUAUUUGUUAUAAAAAAUUUAAAUAAAUCUUUAGGUUAAAUAGAUUUUAUAAUUAAUAAAAUAUAUCUCAUGUAUUAAUAGUUUAUUAAAAACUUUUAUACAAUAUUGAAAAUAAUUUAAAUUUUUAAAUAUUUAUUUUAAUAUUAUGUCUUUAUUUAUUAAAAAAUUAGUUUAAUAUAAUAUAAGACUGUAAAGUACUAAAAUGUUUUUAUAUAUUAGUUAUUUUAAAAUUUAUAUAUUGUUACAUUUAUUUUAAUAUUAUAUUUCUACUUAUUAUAAAACUUUAGAGUCAAUUUUUUGAAUUAAUAAAGUCAAAAGGCAUUAUAGUCAAAAGGGGUUUUAGUCUCUCUUAGUGAAAACUCAAGGAUCUACAUGAUCAUUUUCCCAAGCCUUGGGAAGUGACUUUUUUCAUAAUUUACACUUAAUUGCAUAUGUGAUCAUAUGAUUUAAGUAUGAUAAUUAAAAUUUUGCAGUAUAUUAUAUUUAUUUGAGUAAUACUCACUUAUAAAAUAGAUAUUAUAUAAUUUGAGUAGUAAUCAAUGAAAAAUAUGAUGUAUAAUCAAUUAUUACAAAUUUAUUACAAUAUUAGUAUACAAUAAAAUAAACUAUCACCAAAAUAUAAUAAUUAAAAACAAGGCAACAUCAAUUAAGGUAUAAAUUACGUAUCCAACUAUAUAAGUAUAUUGUUAAAUAAAUUUAAUUUUUAUGACUUAUAAACAACUAUUGCAAUUUGGAGCAAUAAAUAAAUAGUUUUAAAAUUGCAGUCAACAUUAUUGUUAAAUUAUAAUGUUGAAUUUACCUAUAAGAGAAAAUUUUCCUUUCAAUACUUAAUUUAGGAAGCAAAAUUAAUGUUUUAAUAUAUUUUCUUUUUUCUUGAUUGCAUUAAUUUUCUAAUGUGUUUUUUUUAAUACAAAAUAUAGUUUAAUUUGAAUUGCAUUUACUGUGCUUAAAGCAUUAAUUAAAGAUAAAUAAAUGGUGACUCGGUUGAAUUGGAUUUAAAGUAAAUGCUAAUUUGCAAAUCUUAAAAUUUCAAUAUAAAAAUUAAUUUUCACUAUUUCAGGGAUAAUCAUAUAAUAAAUAAAUAAAUUGUUUUAUCAUAAACAUUUGAAAAAUAAAAAAUUGAGCUGUACAAAUUGCAUAUGCAAUUGUUAAAAAUGAAAUUUUGGUUGAAGUGAUGAGAUAUCAAAGAAUUUAUUUUGGAAAGAAAAUGAGUACAAUUAAUUUGAAUUAAUAAAAUAGGCAUAUCUAUAAUGAUCAAAAGCUCAAGUAUAAAUAAGUUGAGUUUAAGAAAUCUCAUGAAGUCAAGAAGAUCAAAAAGAGAAAAAAAAUGUUCCAACAUAAUUAGAUUAGGUAAGUUCCUAAUCUUUUAACUUACAAUGUUGAUGGUAGUUUAUAGAAAAUUGAAUAGGAAUUACAAUAGUAAAAUUUUAAUAUAUUGCAGGAAGUUGAUAUUUACUGAAAUAAGAGGAGUAAAAUGAGAUUCACCUUAAUAAUAUUAUUUAUUUUUCGUAAUAAAGGUUUACUUUGAAUUGUAUAAUAUCAACCUGGAAUUUAACCAAUAAUGUUGAAACAUAAUGUAGGCACUGAGAACUUGAAACACAAAAGUAGUGAACUAAUUAAUUGAAAUAAUUGAACCCAUGAGUGAGAAAGCUUAACCAAACUAUGAGACUAAUCUAAUCAUAUAUAAAAUCUAAAAAGUAAAUUUGGUAUCUAACCCAAUUUAUUAAAAUCUUACAUAAAUAAUCGGAAUAUUCAACACAAUACUAAUGAAAUUAUUAGUUGAAACUCAUGUACCAAUAAAGGAGAAAGUUUAACCAAAAGUAGGGAUUAGUCCAACGAGAAAUGAAAUUUACUUGGUAAUUUAACUCAAAACAUUGGUACUUAACUUUUAACAAAAAUCAGGAAAAUUAUCCAACGAGAAAUACUAUAUACUUGGAAUUUAAUCCAAAAUAUUGGUAUUUAACGAUUUUAGUAGAAAUACUAAGCACAAAACUAGUGGAUUGACAAGUUGAAACAUAUAAACCUAUAGUUGAGAAAGAUUAACCAAAAUCAAGAACCCAUAGAACAAAAAAUAAAAUUUUACAAAGUAAAAUCGGGAUCUAACCCAAAUUAUUUGAAAUCUUGCCUCGAUAAUAGGAACAUUCCACACAAAAUCAUUGGAAUUAUUAGUUAAAAUACAUGAACCCAUAAUGGAGAAAGUUUAACCAAAAUAAAGAACUAUUCCGACGAGAAAUGAAAUUUACUUGGAAUUUAACCCAAAAUAUUAAUUUUUAAUGAUUUUAGUAGGAAUAAUAAAAGCAUUACUAAUGGAUUGAAAAGUUGAAAUAUAUUAGCCUAUAAUUGAGAAAGUUUAACCAAAAUUUGAUACAAAUCCAACCAAAAAUUAAACGCUACAAAGUAGUUUGGUACUUAACCCAAAUAAUUGAAAUCUUACCUAGAUAAUGGGAACAUUAAACAUAAAUCUAGUGAAAUUAUUAGUUGAAACCCUUAUACCAAUAAGGGAGAAAUUUUAACCAAAAUUAGGAACUCAUCCUAUGAGAACUGAAAUUUACUUGUAAUUUAACCCAAAAUAUUGGUAUUUAAUGAAUUUAGUAGGAACAUUAAACACAAAACUAGUGGAUUGAAAAGUUAAAAUAAAUGAACCAAUAAAUGAGAAAGACUAACCAAAAUUAGAGACAUGAAAAAUAAAUUUGAAACAUCCACCCAUGAAAUUGAUAUUUAACCAAAAAAAUUAGAAUAUAAUUAUUUUUAUAAUUUUUUAACAUUUAUUUAUGUUAAAAAAAUUUAAAAAUAUUUUUCUCAUUUAAUUGAUUUUUAUGUUUCAAAUUUAAAUUUUUCAUAUUUUUUCAUUUUAUUAUAAUUUUUAGGCAUUAAAAACAAAUUUAAAAAAUUAUUAAUGAACAACCGGUAAGAUACGGGUUGUUCAAGUUUUUGGCAGCGGAUCAUAAGAUACAGCCCAGCCCUGCACUGUAAGAUGACUCCCAAAUAAAAUGUGAAUUGCAUGCUUUUGUAAUAUCGCGGCAUGCUAUAUAAAAUGAAGCAUUUGCUUAACCGUCAACGAGUGAAAGUGGAGAGUGUUAUGGGUAAGAAUAUAUGGCCAAAGUUGAAAGAAAGUAAUUGAGAAUUGACGAGAGAGAGGCCUUAUUUUAGCUUUGACUUAUGUUAUUAAAGUUGUGGGGUAAAUCAAUAUUAUUUUAGUUUCUCCUAUAAGGGAGACUUUAAGUAUUUAAGAUUUUUAGAUAUUUUUUGUAUUCUGUUGAUGAGGGCAUAAAUUGACUAAUUACACCAACUUUAAAAGCAAUACAAUAUCUACACUUUCUAUUCAGAAAGUCCAACACAUACCUCAUUUGAGAAGGAAAUAAUCCUUUUCUUGGAUCUUAUAAACUCCAUUCCUAAGAAGCACUCAAAUUCUUUUGCAUGAAAAAACCUUCCGAUACUCUACAACUCUUUACUUCAUCUUCAGUUAAUAUUAUGCAUGUCAUUGCUUGAGUGUUUGUAGAAAAGAGUGUGAUCAUUAGCCUGACUGUCUUUUGAUACCUUAAUUUCGAGCACCUUACAUAAUUAAACACCUUCAUACCCAAACGUGGAUUCACUCAUUCACAAACACUUCCUCUGUAGCUCACCAUUUAAAAAGACUGUACGUUCUUUAAAUCUAAUUACCAUAUAGUUGCAAUGGCCAAUUAAAAAAUUACACUAAUUAACAACCACAAAAAAGAAAAAAAUAGUUGAACUUUAUUUUAUUAUUGAGAUAUUACAUCAUAGGUUAUCUCUAGAGUUCACAAGAGGCUUCUCUUGGAUAACUGAACCUUUAAACCAUACUUCAUAUUAAGUAUAAUAGACUUACGUGGUAAAACAGGAUGACCUUUUGCUACUUAAUUCCCGAUCACCGCACUCGCAACCAUCUUCAUUUGAAUCAAAGCCUUGUCCUUCCCUAAACAAUUUCUAGGACCAGCAUGAAAUGCAGUGAACUUGUAUGUCGGCACAUGCACAAUACACCCUUUCUCUGAAAUCCAUCUCUCGGGCUUGAACUCUAAACAAUCAUUGCCCCAUAUCUCUUCCAUCCUCCCCAUUGCAUAAUAAGAAAUCAAUACCGUUUGAUUCUUCUUGAUGUGAUGACC
This 10510-nucleotide long non-coding RNA is filed under the name Citrus maxima (pomelo). RNAcentral describes it as "long non-coding RNA (CMAX_LNC000548)". The record is from RNAcentral. Lineage: Eukaryota; Viridiplantae; Streptophyta; Magnoliopsida; Sapindales; Rutaceae.